RNAcentral lists this unclassified non-coding RNA (214 nucleotides) under soil metagenome. Its description in RNAcentral is "partial contains 5.8S ribosomal RNA, internal transcribed spacer 2, and large subunit ribosomal RNA". The record is from RNAcentral.
AACCUAGCACACCUGCGGUGUGUACCUGCGGAAGGAUCAUUAUCGAGUUACACGACUCCAACCCUUUGUGAACAUACCUCUGUUGCUUCGGCGGACCCGCCCCGGCGCCAACGGCCCGGAACCAGGCGACCGCCGGGGGACCCAAACCUCUGUAUCUACGAGUAUUCUGAGUGGCGUACGCGCAAAUCAAAUCAAAACUUUCAGCAACGGAUCU